Molecule: non-coding RNA, 420 nt
Organism: Vicia faba (fava bean)
Lineage: Eukaryota; Viridiplantae; Streptophyta; Magnoliopsida; Fabales; Fabaceae
Source: the annotation of a GenBank genome assembly
GAUCUUUCUCAUUACACACAAAAUUACUCAAAAAUAUUAAACUCUCUCAAGAACUCAAGAAAAUUCAAAACUUCUUCUCCCUCAAAGAAGCAACUCGUGCCCGCAAAUCUCCUUUCCUCUGGCACCACUGCGCCCGUCAUCUCCCAUCUCUGGAACUCUCCACCCCUACUGCGGUCGCCACCAUUCUCCCGUGCUCGCCACUGUUCCUCAGUGACAACCCCCUAUGUCACACGAUCUCUCCCUCUACGACAUACUCCCUUGCUAACGCCCUCCCUCCGGCUUCCAUUUCCGGCAAAAUCUCCGGCCAGUAGCUCCCUCCGUCAAGGUGCUCCCUCUGUGCACAGCCUACUCUCUAUCACCGUAUCUCCUCUAUUUCAUAAGCUUCUACAAUCGGAUCAGUUCUCCGAUCAACACAUUUGA